Long non-coding RNA from Sapajus apella (tufted capuchin), 409 nucleotides. RefSeq lists it as uncharacterized. The record is from RefSeq and is a predicted model, not a curated record. NCBI's taxonomy places the organism in Eukaryota, Metazoa, Chordata, Mammalia, Primates, Cebidae. The transcript is spliced from 3 exons.
AACAAGGUGAAGUCCCACAAUAAGCUGUCUGCAAGCUGAGGAGAAAGAAAGUCAGUAAGUCCCCGAAUCUCCAAAGUAGGGAAGUUGACAGUGCAGCCUUUAGUCUGUCGCAAAAGGCCUGAAAGACCCUGGAAAAUCACUGGUGUAAGUUCAAGAGUCAGAAAGCUGAAGAUCUUGGAGUCCGAUAUUUGAGGGCAGGAACCAUCUAGCAUGGGAGAAAGAUGAAGGCCGGAAGACUCUGCAAGUCAGCUCCUUCCACCUUUUCUGCCUGCUUUAUUCUAGCUGUGCUGGCAGCUGAUUAGAUAGUGCCCACCCAGAUUGAGGGUGGGUCUGCCUCUCCCAGUCCACUGACUCAAAUGUUAAUCUCUUUGGCAACGCCCUCACAGAUACACCAGAGUAAGACUUUCCA